GCAAAGUGUCUCUUAAUCAUCAGAUAUUUUGUCGGAGACUUUUGUUGACACCAUUGAAUUUUGGAACACAUCAACAGCGUUCCACGAAUAAUCAAAAACGAAACCUGUCUCCUGAGCUCUUAUCUACGACUUCGUGCGUCAAAAGUCAACUUCAAUGCUGAACAAACGACACCAAUAACAUUUUUAAGAAGGUAAUAAUGGUAAUGUGGACCAAGUUGAGGAAGUGGAGGAGGUCUGUCUGCCACGUUUAGUGGUGAGAGAUAGAAGGAUCCAGUUGUCAUGCAGUCAGAGGAGGAGUUCUUGAAACGUUAUCAACUGCCAAAGCAGUGCACCAGAAACCUGCUUCAGAAAAUCAGCAGAAAAUUACCCACAGCAAGAGAUGGCAGAGGUUGCAGCUUGUGUUAUGUUGCAUAAUCUAGCCACAACUGAGAAUAUUGAUAUUGCCAAAGAAGAAGACACAUAUGAACUGAGAGCAUGAUGCAGUACACUGCGAAAAUAAUGAUAAUCGUUUAGGGUUUGAUGUCAGAAAAUGUUUGUGAACAAUGGUUUUAGGAUGGCUUAGCAAUUAGAAGAAUUUCUGGAUGAAUCAUUAAUUUCCACUUUAAGCAUAUUUCUACUUACUUUAUAUUACCUGUAUAUUAAAAAGAAUUGUUUAUAGUAAAUUGCAGUAAUUAUUUUUGGUAUCAGGAACCGUCAUAUCAAACAUUUACCUUAUCAUUGUUUAUAAGUGAAAUAAGACCUUGUCAGAAACCUUG
This 755-nucleotide long non-coding RNA is filed under the name Penaeus japonicus. RNAcentral describes it as "uncharacterized LOC122254252". Lineage: Eukaryota; Metazoa; Arthropoda; Malacostraca; Decapoda; Penaeidae. The record is from RNAcentral.